Molecule: ribosomal RNA, 253 nt
Filed under: uncultured bacterium
Lineage: Bacteria
Also listed under: 1 other name
Description: partial 16S ribosomal RNA
Rfam family: Bacterial small subunit ribosomal RNA
Source: RNAcentral
UACGUAGGGGGCAAGCGUUGUCCGGAAUCAUUGGGCGUAAAGAGCGUGUAGGCGGCCCGAUAAGUCCGCUGUGAAAGUCCAGGGCUCAACCCUGGGAUGCCGGUGGAUACUGUCGGGCUCGAGUCCGGAAGAGGAGUGUGGAAUUCCUGGUGUAGCGGUGAAAUGCGCAGAUAUCAGGAGGAACACCAAUGGCGAAGGCAGCACUCUGGGACGUGACUGACGCUGAGACGCGAAAGCGUGGGGAGCAAACAGG